CAUUUCAAAAGUUCAAAAAAGCAUCAGCAAAACUCUAGUGCAGACCAAACAUGCUAAUACUCGUGUGUUCAUGCAUAUAACCUUAUAGAACUUGAAGGAAAAACACUAAAAAUAGCAAUCUUGUCAUACUCUGACAGAGGAGGCCUGUAUCUGACAGCAAAGUAUUUAAGCUAGGUAUUCAGUGAAGUCAAAACCACACUUUCAUGUGUGUUGUUGCUACCUUAACAACUUCUUUUUUUGUGAGUUUCAAUUCCAACAAUCAAUUUGCUGUUGAAUCAAGCUGUACGAUGGAGGACUUUAGAUGAAAACAAAGCAAUGACAUUAAUGUUGACCUGUUUUAAAAUAAAAAAAGUCAAAUUAAUUGUUUUUCUACUAAAUUUUUGAUGAAAACUGCCAAUACACAAAGGGUUAGGGCAACUCGUUUAGCCCAGAUGAGACAGCAGCUUCAACCUCCGACUCAGCUACACUGAUUUCUUUGUUUUCUAUCUUUCAAAUAUGAAAAAGAAAUCUGUCCAUUCCACAUUUUCAAGAUUCUACCACAUAUUGAUGGGUGUAACAAAUAUUCUGAGAAAUGACUCUCUUUACCUGAACACGUUAUUCUAAUUUGGAUGGUUCUGCUUUCCUGCACUGCUGCUCUGUGGCUCCAUCAGAGGGGAGCCAAAGAGGAAGGUGGAGGGGGGUUAAGAGAUGGGAAGAAUGUGGUCAUUGUGCUCUCCAGUCACGACAACACUUGUAGACGUAACAGCAGGAGACAGGAGAAAGGGGGAGAGCACAAGGUCUCAAAGUGGAGGAGAGAGCAGGAGGUGACAGAGUUGAAGGAGAGCGCUACAGUGGGAGAACGAAGGAGGGAGGGAGGGAUGGAGGGAGGAAGGGCAGUGGUAAUUAGUGAGUCUGUACCUGACUCUCACUGACAUAAGCCCCACAUUCCAACGAGCCGAGAAGGGGGGGAGAAAGAUGAGGGAGGAGGAAUAAAGAAGAAAAAAAAAAGUUCUGAGCGCACCAUCCGAAUAUCAUUCCAGAGCUAUCCUCUCUGAUGAAGCCCUCAAAACGCCAGAGUUUCCCAGGUCCAACUUCCUCCCGUCUCUUCCUUCACCUUUGUAUUAAAAGACACAAAAACCCCUC
Long non-coding RNA from Oryzias melastigma (Indian medaka), 1122 nucleotides. RefSeq lists it as uncharacterized. Lineage: Eukaryota; Metazoa; Chordata; Actinopteri; Beloniformes; Adrianichthyidae. The transcript is spliced from 2 exons. The record is from RefSeq and is a predicted model, not a curated record.